RNAcentral lists this long non-coding RNA (1571 nucleotides) under Daphnia magna. RNAcentral describes it as "uncharacterized LOC116920934, transcript variant X2". The record is from RNAcentral. Lineage: Eukaryota; Metazoa; Arthropoda; Branchiopoda; Diplostraca; Daphniidae.
AUUUUUAUGUAAGCUGUUUCAUUUCGCGUGCUUCGGACUGAGUAUGGAUGCAUAAACGAACGUCUCUCUCCUUGAAAUUUCACCACCGAUUCCGUGUGUUUUGAGCUGCUUGUUGGGAAUUCUAUGAAUGCAGAGUUGUUCAAGGUCUUUGGGAUGUACCUGAUGUACUGUGGUGGCCGCAGAAUCAUUCAGUGACUUGGUCGAACACACCACCACACACAAAAAGCAAUCUAUUUCAAGGGUUUGCUUUCCAAUACAUACCCAACAAUAGCAAUGCUGAAUAGAUAACAACAUACCAGAAACAUUACAUUUAUGGACAAAAAAUCCUUUGAAACACAAAAUAUGAUACCAGUAUUUCUUCUGGCCAUCCUUUUCUGUUUGAAUUGGUGAAAUCGGUAAUAUUUCCAAUUUACUGGCUACAGAAGCUAAUGUAUUGUCUAUUUUACCUGAGAAAGUUUUAUCCAUCAAGAGGCUGGAGGACUGCAGAAAUGAAGAAUUCUUCUUACCCCCUGUGGCCUGUGCUAAAAUGAAGCACAACUGUAGUGUGUACUUCUUCAAAGAAGGAUAAACACUUAUUACCUGCAACAAUGUUGAUAAUGACAUUAUAAGAAAACUUCAAAAUCUAGUAUUGUCAGUUGAUUCGUAGGUUGAAAUUCCGCUCAGGCUUUACACAUUCUACAGUUAAAGUACUGACAGGUGACAUGUAAAGUUGAAUUUAUGUGUGGUGAUGACACAAACAUGUGGAGAUUCGCUGGCAAAAUGUUGGACCCUUCAUCGGAAACGAUUUUAUUAAAAACUUUCUGCUACCAGUGUGUUUUUGUUCCUCUUCCUGUAAAGGAAACACCAAACUUGAUGUUGCUCUUGUGAUGAUGAAUCUGGAUUAUUGGUAAGGUCUGCUUAUAGUUGCACUAAUCUUUGUGAUACCUCUUUACUAAGGGAAAUAUUGAAAUAUAAAAUGAUUAGUCAUUUAAGUUAUGAAAAUUCCUUCAUAAUAAACAAAUUUCAUAAAUCUGGAACAGUUUGUUGAAACUUUGAAGAAAUACUUCAUCCUAUCUUAUUUCUCUUAGAAUCUUUUCAUUGCUAGAGUAUUUUCCUCUUCUCAUUAAGGAAUAACCUAACUUAAUGUUGCCUUGUGAUGGAUUGGGAUUAUUGCUAUUCCUUUCAUAUAUGUUAUCGUGGCGAAUGGUAAUGUUAAUGUUUGUCUGAGGUCGGAAAAUAGAAAGCGUCACCAACUAUCUGAUCGCUCUCAUCUUCGGUAAGGAGCUUUUAAAAACCUGUGCUGAUAAAUUUUUGGUGGAAAAUUUUACGUCGAAGACUGGUGAACUUGCUUGGUCCCACGGUUACGUCAAAAUCUGGGACACGUCCGUGUCAUUGACUGAAAGCGAGCGACUCAUCAUCUCAUCCAGUUGGCUUCUAGCCUGUUUGGAUUUCGACAAAAAGGAGUCACUGCUGGUGGAUAUCCCAUCAAUUCUGCAACAUUCCACAUGAUUCCUCGACUGCAUCUGAUUGUCAACGAUGUGGAUGAAAUCGUCAUUUCGCUAAACCAGCACACGGCUAGUCUAAAGAGAAAA